Non-coding RNA from Ceratobasidium sp. 423, 105 nucleotides. NCBI's taxonomy places the organism in Eukaryota, Fungi, Basidiomycota, Agaricomycetes, Cantharellales, Ceratobasidiaceae. The record is from the annotation of a GenBank genome assembly.
GGGCAUGUAGCGCAGUUGGUAGCGCGCUCGCUUAGCAUCCUGAUUAUGUAAGCGCUUACGUAAUUAUAGUGCGAGAGGCCUCCGGUUCAAAUCCGGACUUGUCCA